Molecule: long non-coding RNA, 387 nt
Organism: Pocillopora damicornis (cauliflower coral)
Lineage: Eukaryota; Metazoa; Cnidaria; Anthozoa; Scleractinia; Pocilloporidae
Source: RefSeq, a predicted model, not a curated record
GGCAAAACGAGGUAUCGUGGUCGUUUUAGAUCGAGAGUUUCUGGUCUGGUUUACCAGAAACCUUGAGUGAUCCAUUUCUUCUUUAUUUGAGCACAAAACUGGUAAACGUGAUUGUACUUUACCUUUCAGUCAAGCUUGUAACCAAUCAAACAUCGCAACGGAUAUCUGAAACUGAUGGAAGCGAGGAAAGUACAUUUAUAGAUGCAACGGCCAAUGUCGUAAGUCGGCUCCCGAAAGUCUUAAGCUGAUCCUUCCAUUCAAAUACAUCCUGAGCACACGAAGCCAGACACCUGGAAUCAGCAGAAAAUAGCUUCAGCUGAUCCUCCCGUCUAAACACCUCUGAGCACAGAAGCCAGUCACUUGGAAUCAGCAGAAAAUAGCUUCAGG